Molecule: ribosomal RNA, 105 nt
Filed under: Silene italica
Lineage: Eukaryota; Viridiplantae; Streptophyta; Magnoliopsida; Caryophyllales; Caryophyllaceae
Description: partial 26S ribosomal RNA
Rfam family: Eukaryotic large subunit ribosomal RNA
Source: RNAcentral
CCCAGGUCAGGCGGGGCUACCCGCUGAAUUUAAGCAUAUCAAUAAGCGGAGGAAAAGAAACUUAYAAGGAUUCCCCUAGUAACGGCGAGCGAACCGGGAAUAGCC